AACGAACGCUGGCGGCAUGCCUAACACAUGCAAGUCGAACGAGGCUUCGGCCUUAGUGGCGCACGGGUGCGUAACGCGUGGGAAUCUGCCCUUGGGUUCGGAAUAACUCAGAGAAAUUUGAGCUAAUACCGAAUGAUGUCGAAAGACCAAAGAUUUAUCGCCCAAGGAUGAGCCCGCGUAGGAUUAGCUUGUUGGUGAGGUAAAGGCUCACCAAGGCGACGAUCCUUAGCUGGUCUGAGAGGAUGAUCAGCCACACUGGGACUGAGACACGGCCCAGACUCCUACGGGAGGCAGCAGUGGGGGAAUAUUGGACAAUGGGCGAAAGCCUGAUCCAGCAAUGCCGCGUGAGUGAUGAAGGCCUUAGGGUUGUAAAGCUCUUUUACCAGGGAUGAUAAUGACAGUACCCGGGAGAAUAAGCUCCGGCUAACUCCGUGCCAGCAGCCGCGGUAAUGUCUGUACU
RNAcentral lists this ribosomal RNA (460 nucleotides) under uncultured bacterium. RNAcentral describes it as "bacterial SSU rRNA". It matches the Rfam family "Bacterial small subunit ribosomal RNA", at positions 29 to 531 of the family's 1533-position model. The record is from RNAcentral.